RNAcentral lists this ribosomal RNA (376 nucleotides) under uncultured bacterium. Its description in RNAcentral is "bacterial SSU rRNA". It matches the Rfam family "Bacterial small subunit ribosomal RNA", at positions 524 to 898 of the family's 1533-position model. The record is from RNAcentral.
UACGAAGGGUGCAAGCGUUACUCGGAAUUACUGGGCGUAAAGCGUGCGUAGGCGGUUUGUUAAGUCCGUUGUGAAAGCCCUGGGCUCAACCUGGGAAUUGCAGUGGAUACUGGCGAGCUAGAGUGCGGUAGAGGAUGGUGGAAUUCCCGGUGUAGCGGUGAAAUGCGUAGAGAUCGGGAGGAACACCCGUGGCGAAGGCGGCCAUCUGGACCAGCACUGACGCUGAGGCACGAAAGCGUGGGGAGCAAACAGGAUUAGAUACCCUGGUAGUCCACGCCCUAAACGAUGCGAACUGGACGUUGGGUGGACUUAGCCACUCAGUGUCGAAGCUAACGCGUUAAGUUCGCCGCCUGGGGAGUACGGUCGCAAGACUGAA